This 1421-nucleotide ribosomal RNA is filed under the name Salmonella enterica. RNAcentral describes it as "partial 23S ribosomal RNA". It matches the Rfam family "Bacterial large subunit ribosomal RNA", at positions 1398 to 2802 of the family's 2925-position model. Lineage: Bacteria; Pseudomonadati; Pseudomonadota; Gammaproteobacteria; Enterobacterales; Enterobacteriaceae. The record is from RNAcentral.
GAGGCCGAAAGGCGUAGUCGAUGGGAAACGGGUUAAUAUUCCCGUACUUGGUGUUACUGCGAAGGGGGGACGGAGAAGGCUAUGUUGGCCGGGCGACGGUUGUCCCGGUUUAAGCGUGUAGGUGUGUGUUCCAGGUAAAUCCGGUUCACUUUAACACUGAGGCGUGAUGACGAGGCACUACGGUGCUGAAGCAACAAAUGCCCUGCUUCCAGGAAAAGCCUCUAAGCAUCAGGUAACAUCAAAUCGUACCCCAAACCGACACAGGUGGUCAGGUAGAGAAUACCAAGGCGCUUGAGAGAACUCGGGUGAAGGAACUAGGCAAAAUGGUGCCGUAACUUCGGGAGAAGGCACGCUGACACGUAGGUGAAGUGAUUUACUCAUGGAGCUGAAGUCAGUCGAAGAUACCAGCUGGCUGCAACUGUUUAUUAAAAACACAGCACUGUGCAAACACGAAAGUGGACGUAUACGGUGUGACGCCUGCCCGGUGCCGGAAGGUUAAUUGAUGGGGUCAGCGCAAGCGAAGCUCCUGAUCGAAGCCCCGGUAAACGGCGGCCGUAACUAUAACGGUCCUAAGGUAGCGAAAUUCCUUGUCGGGUAAGUUCCGACCUGCACGAAUGGCGUAAUGAUGGCCAGGCUGUCUCCACCCGAGACUCAGUGAAAUUGAACUCGCUGUGAAGAUGCAGUGUACCCGCGGCAAGACGGAAAGACCCCGUGAACCUUUACUAUAGCUUGACACUGAACAUUGAGCCUUGAUGUGUAGGAUAGGUGGGAGGCUUUGAAGUGUGGACGCCAGUCUGCAUGGAGCCGGCCUUGAAAUACCACCCUUUAAUGUUUGAUGUUCUAACGUGGACCCGUGAUCCGGGUUGCGGACAGUGUCUGGUGGGUAGUUUGACUGGGGCGGUCUCCUCCUAAAGAGUAACGGAGGAGCACGAAGGUUGGCUAAUCCUGGUCGGACAUCAGGAGGUUAGUGCAAUGGCAUAAGCCAGCUUGACUGCGAGCGUGACGGCGCGAGCAGGUGCGAAAGCAGGUCAUAGUGAUCCGGUGGUUCUGAAUGGAAGGGCCAUCGCUCAACGGAUAAAAGGUACUCCGGGGAUAACAGGCUGAUACCGCCCAAGAGUUCAUAUCGACGGCGGUGUUUGGCACCUCGAUGUCGGCUCAUCACAUCCUGGGGCUGAAGUAGGUCCCAAGGGUAUGGCUGUUCGCCAUUUAAAGUGGUACGCGAGCUGGGUUUAGAACGUCGUGAGACAGUUCGGUCCCUAUCUGCCGUGGGCGCUGGAGAACUGAGGGGGGCUGCUCCUAGUACGAGAGGACCGGAGUGGACGCAUCACUGGUGUUCGGGUUGUCAUGCCAAUGGCACUGCCCGGUAGCUAAAUGCGGAAGAGAUAAGUGCUGAAAGCAUCUAAGCACGAAACUUGCCCCGA